Molecule: transfer RNA, 72 nt
Filed under: Arthrospira sp. PCC 9901
Lineage: Bacteria; Bacillati; Cyanobacteriota; Cyanophyceae; Oscillatoriales; Sirenicapillariaceae
Also listed under: 2 other names
Description: tRNA-Gly
Rfam family: tRNA
About the family: Transfer RNA (tRNA) molecules are approximately 80 nucleotides in length. Their secondary structure includes four short double-helical elements and three loops (D, anti-codon, and T loops). Further hydrogen bonds mediate the characteristic L-shaped molecular structure. tRNAs have two regions of fundamental functional importance: the anti-codon, which is responsible for specific mRNA codon recognition, and the 3' end, to which the tRNAs corresponding amino acid is attached (by aminoacyl-tRNA synthetases). tRNAs cope with the degeneracy of the genetic code in two manners: having more than one tRNA (with a specific anti-codon) for a particular amino acid; and 'wobble' base-pairing, i.e. permitting non-standard base-pairing at the 3rd anti-codon position.
Source: RNAcentral
GCGGACGUAAUUCAGUGGUAGAAUGUUAGCUUCCCAAGCUAAACGUCGUGGGUUCGAGUCCCAUCGUCCGCU